Gadus macrocephalus (Pacific cod) is the source of this 3742-nucleotide long non-coding RNA. RefSeq lists it as uncharacterized. The record is from RefSeq and is a predicted model, not a curated record. The transcript has 4 exons. Lineage: Eukaryota; Metazoa; Chordata; Actinopteri; Gadiformes; Gadidae.
GCGGGUGUGGUAAACGUUUCCAUGGUAACAGCGAGCUCCACCAAUCAAUGAAGUCGUGUCCUGAAUUACUAGGCCCACAGAGCCACAGUCCUGAAGAGGAGCUAGGCUACUUUCGGCUAAGGGAAGGCAAAUGCUAACCUCACGAGCUCCCCUCCUGGGCGCACAAUGAUGAAUUUGGAUUUAAACGACUAUUUGGAAUCUGGCGUGUUGCGGUGACUGCGACUGGAUGCCUUGACUCUCUUCAUGGUUACCCGGCCAGCUCUGUGUUCCUUCUCAAGAUUUCCUCCUUGCUAAUUAAGGUUUCCUGAUGAGUUCUGAGGGAGUCUGAUGGACUUCAAUACCCAGAGAAACCCCUGGAGAAAGACAAGAAGAGACUAGCAUUGUGAACCGCUCUUCAGUAACAUGCUCUAACAUGAAAUAUUGUACAGAGUUUAAACCCAUAAUGCAAAAUGACAUAAAAUAUCCUAUAGUAUAUGUUCAUCAAUCUCAUAAUUAUCAUAUAUUAUAAUGGUUGACAAUAUUUCCUAAUGGAUUAUUCAAUUGAUUCUAGUUAUUACCUGUGAAGUAAAGUAUACACAGGAGUCUCAUUUCAACUGAUGCUGCCCUUUGCUAUCCAGUAGAAGCUAAGGUAUUGCAAACCAUUGUGUAUGAAGCCAAUAGUUGUGUGAGGCGGAGCAGGAAGUGAUGUCCCCAGACACUGGUAUACCAAUGUUUCGGUAGUGAUAUGGGAGGGAAUUGGCACAUUGCUCUCCUGGGUCUCCUGGGAACAUCUGGCAACCAUUACCAUUUCAUUAGCUUAAGGCAAUAACAUAAUAUAUAUAGGCUAUGUGUCCUUCAAUAAAUAUCGAGAUUAACGCAAUAAUUCUGAUUAUUGAAGUAGAAAUGGUUUCAGUAGGGUAAAUUGCUAUCCGAUCAAAGGGCUGCUAAGUUUCUUGGUUUCAUUGGUUUGUGGAUAUGUUUGAUAUGAAUUCUCAAUUACAAAGACAUUUCAUCUAUUGUUUACUUUAAAAUUACACUGGUGGAAAUUGUUCUUAAACGUCUACUUCAACUAGAGAAAAGACGUACAAGCACACCCACGUACCCCAUUUUAUUUUUAUUUUCAGCCACCAUGUGCCUUGUAUAACAUCUUGCCAAAGGACUACAGUUGAAAAUUAGCCUGCUGGCUAACACUGGCACAUUUACAGAAAUGUUGAUCAAUGUGCACUGUCCUUUAAAUAAAUAAAUAAAUGAAAAAUGAAUGGGUCUACGGUAAAUGCUUUAUCGGCAGUAGUUUGGUCAGUAAGAUCUUCCCUUAAAUAAUAAUGUAAUAUUAUGUUGUUUAUGUCCCAAAGUAAGCUAACCAUGUGGGUUUAGUCACUUGGCUCCAGACUGAAGCAUUUCCCAUAGUGAACCAAAGGUUGUGUGUUGUAAAGUCCCUGUUAGUUGGUCAUAUCGUAUUGCGUAUAUAUAUAUAUAUAUAUAUAAAAUGUGUAUAUUGUUAUUUCUAUUCAGGCACUUGAGACAGCCCAGGUAGCGCCGUAGGGUCCUAGAGUUUUACUAGGUGCACGGGAUUGCAUAACCCGCCAUGACAGAAUGCGUUCGUGAAGAGUGAGUUAAUACUGAACAACGUAUUAUUUACGUAUAUUUAUGUAGGAUAAAUGUUGUAUGCAGUCCGAAAUUCUGUUCCAUAUAGUGGCCUUGAUUUUGUGUGUUUGAGCUGGCUUCUGCUAUUGUGUUAGUUGAUUCACUCACUAAUCGGGCAGCUAGUGUAUAAGUCUGCACCGCGUGUAGACAUUGCAUAUGUGUACGUCACUCUGCUGCGCCGUUGUCGGCUGUUAUAUUGUACUGUGUUAACGUGUGUAUGUGGAAGCUAUUCAUGCAAGUUAUGUUUAUAUAGCAUUCAUGGGAUGUUGUUAGUACUAAAGCCCGGUGCUUUAGUGUGUGAAUCUUGUAAUAAUUAUUUGUCUAUUUUCUUACUGUCUUACAGAAAACCAUUCACAUUUAUUUAUUCAUUCCUUCAUUCAUUUGAUUAUUCAUUAAAGCAAUCAUUGAUGUCAUUCGCCUAUUCAAGAUAUAUAAACAACAAAAACUGUGUAUGCGUCUACUCUCUGACCGGAGUUGCCGUCUUGAUAAAGUGGUCCCAGCACACACACGCACAUUCUUCAAUAUUGUGUUUCUGGCACUAAAUGAAAGCGGAGAUCCAUCUGAUGCUAUAGCAGUUGCUGCAGGUGCAGGGAGGUUAAUCAGAUGAAUUAUUAGACAAGGAGUUAUUGUACGGUGAACCCCUAAUAUGCUGCAUUGUGGAUACUAGCAGCACAGAAAUACACAGCACUGCUCUCCAUGCUGACGUUCUGUAUCGUUAACAUGGCAAUUUGAUCUUUUUCAGCACUCCCACUCAUUGCAACAGCCAUUCCUAUUUCGGGUUUUGCCUCCGUCAUGAAUAUGUACCCCAGGAACUGGAGCUGUUCAUCGUUGCGUUGUUGCUUAUACCAGAGUAUUCGGUUGUAGUCCUGAAUGCUGUGGGAGCAUUUCAGUGGGGCCAUUGCUCUUGACUCAAUGGCCACAACCAUCUCGGGCGGAGUUUGGUGAACCUUGUCGCUAUUAGAUGCACCUAUGGAGAAAAUAAGAACCAAAGAGGCAAAAUUGAAAUGUGGGGACUGGAUACAGUCAUUAGUAUUCAGAUGUGGAGGAUCUGCUUUAGUCGUGGAGAACUAGUCACAAAUGUAACAUUGUAGAAUGUCCAACAAUGAAGCCAAAUAAGAUGGCAUUUAAGGAAAGUACCUGAUACGACCGUAAAUGAAAUUGUUAGAGCGAGGAAUGUGAUUGUCAACAUAUUUGUCUCGUGAUCAGUCGAUGCUAGUUAGCUUGUGACUGAUCCUAAUAAACACAACCCUAAUUCAGUACAUUUCCUACGUGCGAUAACCUUUCAACUUGCAUCGUUUUGAUGGCAGUGGCUCCUAUUUCCAUCUCGCAACCAUACCGGAACCCAAGUGUGGGAGGAGCCAUUUUGUGUAAAUGUUUAGAAGAGAGGAAGUGAUGCCAUCAGAAUGUCUAACCGUACAGCACUGAUGUUCACCUAGACUCUGUAUUGGCCAUCCAGUCCCCUCCUCCCACUAUUGUAUGAUGUACGUCCUGGCACCUCAUUUACGCACUUACUGUAUGUUGUUUUUAUUCAUAGUACCUAAUUGUAUAGCAUCUGCAUUAGCUAGCUCACUGCAACAGCGAAGGGGUUAACCUUGCGAUUGUUAGUACUUGUGCUUGGUUUAUGAAAAUCGUUACUGCACAGGCAGCGAUAUAUUGUUUCACUUCUUAUGAAUGUACUUAUUGUAAGUCACUUUGGCUAAAAGUGUCUGCUAAAUGCCCUAAAUGUAAAUGUAUGGUGGUGACAUUUUUUGUAGAGACUGGAACCAGUUGGAUAUAGAAAAAAAUUAUUGCUAACCCCGAAAAGAUCGCUUUCAGUUUUGUUGAGGAAAAUCCCUCAUGUAGUAUGUACAAUAAUGAAGACAAAUCUGACUAAAUCGUGGGAAAGAAGCUGAGACAACCGUAAACUUAAUUAUUUGAAUACAGUAUCUCCUAUUUCCACCUCACAAUCGUACCGAAAUGACAAAUGUGGGAGGAGACAUUUUGGGUAAAUAUUUAGAAGAGAGAAGGUAAUGCUAUCAAAAUGUUAAAAAUGUCAUCCCUGAUCUGUUAAAUUUUCUUUUUUUAUUGUAACUUCAACACAAACCAAUUAAAGAACACCCCCUAGUGCUGGGUAUUUGUA